RNAcentral lists this ribosomal RNA (253 nucleotides) under uncultured bacterium. RNAcentral's name for it is "partial 16S ribosomal RNA". It matches the Rfam family "Bacterial small subunit ribosomal RNA", at positions 524 to 776 of the family's 1533-position model. The record is from RNAcentral.
UACAGAGGGGGCAAGCGUUGUUCGGAAUUACUGGGCGUAAAGGGCGCGUAGGCGGCCUGCUAAGUCGGACGUGAAAUCCCCGGGCUCAACCCGGGAACUGCGUCCGAUACUGGCAGGCUUGAAUCCGGGAGAGGGAUGUGGAAUUCCAGGUGUAGCGGUGAAAUGCGUAGAUAUCUGGAGGAACACCGGUGGCGAAGGCGGCAUCCUGGACCGGCAUUGACGCUGAGGCGCGAAAGCCAGGGGAGCAAACGGG